This 404-nucleotide RNase P RNA is filed under the name Actinomycetota bacterium. RNAcentral's name for it is "RNase P RNA component class A". It matches the Rfam family "Bacterial RNase P class A". From Rfam's summary of the family: Ribonuclease P (RNase P) is a ubiquitous endoribonuclease, found in archaea, bacteria and eukarya as well as chloroplasts and mitochondria. Its best characterised activity is the generation of mature 5'-ends of tRNAs by cleaving the 5'-leader elements of precursor-tRNAs. Lineage: Bacteria; Bacillati; Actinomycetota. The record is from RNAcentral.
GGGGCCGGCCAGGCAGUCGCGGGCGCCGGAGAGACAACCGGCGUUCGAGGAAAGUCCGGACACCGCAGGGCGGGGUGGUCGGGAAAUCCGACCCGGGGAAACCCGCGGGAAAGUGCCACAGAAACAAACCGCCAACCCGGCGGGCCUCUCGAGAGCCCGUCGGCGGCAAGGGUGAAAAGGUGCGGUAAGAGCGCACCGGCGGCGUGGUGACGCGCCGGCCAGGCAAACCCCACCCGGUGCAAGGCCAAGCAGGGACGUUGACGCUGCCCGCCGAGUCCCAGGUAGGCCGCAGGGCCGAUGGGCCCGCCGCCGCUUGUCGGGGUGCCCCGAGCCGGGUCACACCGCUGGGGCGGCAGAUGGAUGACUGUCCACGACAGGAUCCGGCUUACCGGCCGGCUUACGGA